AGGUACAGAGGGAUGCUACCGGGCGACCGGAUGCGGAUCUCGAAAGCCUGUCCCAGUUCGGACUGGAGUCUGCAACCCGACUCCACGAAGUUGGAUUCGCUAGUAAUCGCGCAUCAGCCAUGGCGCGGUGAAUACGUUCCCGGGCCUUGUACACACCGCCCGUCACACCAUGGGAGUCGGUAACACCCAAAGUUGGUAGCCUAACCGCAAGGAGGGCGCCGCCUAAGGUGGGAUUGAUGACUGGGGUGAAGUCGUAACAAGGUAAC
Molecule: ribosomal RNA, 266 nt
Filed under: uncultured bacterium
Lineage: Bacteria
Description: partial 16S ribosomal RNA
Rfam family: Bacterial small subunit ribosomal RNA
Source: RNAcentral